AUUGAACGCUGGCGGCAUGCUUUACACAUGCAAGUCGAACGGUAACAGGCCGCAAGGUGCUGACGAGUGGCGAACGGGUGCGUAAUGCAUCGGAACGUGCCCAGUCGUGGGGGAUAACUACUCGCAAGAGUAGCUAAUACCUCAUACGAUCUAUGGAUGAAAGCGGGGGACCGUAAGGCCUCGCGCGAUUGUAGCGGCCGAUGUCAGAUUAGGUAGUUGGUGGGGUAAAGGCUCACCAAGCCAACGAUCUGUAGCUGGUCUGAGAGGACAACCAGCCACACUGGGACUGAGACACGGCCCAGACUCCUACGGGAGGCAGCAGUGGGGAAUUUUGGACAAUGGGCGCAAGCCUGAUCCAGCAAUGCCGCGUGCAGGAAGAAGGCCUUCGGGUUGUAAACUGCUUUUGUACGGAACGAAACGGCUCUGGUUAAUACCCGGGGCUAAUGACGGUACCGUAAGAAUAAGCACCGGCUAACUACGUG
This 482-nucleotide ribosomal RNA is filed under the name uncultured bacterium. Its description in RNAcentral is "partial 16S ribosomal RNA". It matches the Rfam family "Bacterial small subunit ribosomal RNA", at positions 30 to 507 of the family's 1533-position model. The record is from RNAcentral.